RNAcentral lists this long non-coding RNA (1332 nucleotides) under Phasianus colchicus (ring-necked pheasant). RNAcentral describes it as "lncRNA (ENSPCLG00000000896.1)". Lineage: Eukaryota; Metazoa; Chordata; Aves; Galliformes; Phasianidae. The record is from RNAcentral.
AAGCUGACAUGGCUGAUGGAAAUCAUGACUUGCUGUUAUAAAUGUGCAAAACUGCUUGCUCUUUUUGGAAGCAGGAGGAAGGUAUCAGUAUAUAUUACUGCAUAAGACAGAAAGCAGGAAAUUUCCAGGAAUUACUAUUAGAUUUUUAAUCUAUUUUCUUUCUGUUAUUCCACACAAACCUGUGGGUUAUAUCCUUCUAUCUGCAUGGUUACUGUGAGUUUUGUCUGGGAAAGGUCAACAAAUGUACUUGCUUUUGUGUUUGUCUUUGCAGGUUUGAAAUUUCCAGCUUCUAGUAAACUAACUAUGUGUAUGAUAUUAAUUAAAAAUACGGAUCUAUAUGCCCUAAGCAAGGAGUCACGUGAAUCAGCCUAGCUACAGGGUCAUUCUACCAGGCAAAAAAAAAGAAAACUCUAGGCAGCCAAUUUUUCACUGAAGCCAAAAUUUCAAGUGUCUUUUAUAAGAACCAUAGGAGUUUUAGUGUUGUUAGAUGAUAAGAUCAGAAUCAAUUCUUAGAAAAAAUAACCAGUGCUAUGUUUGAAUGCUGCAUCAUUUCUGCCUCUCCUCACAAGUGGGACUACUGCCUCACCAUUUCCCCACAUAGCUUAAGAUUUUCUGGUAUGACAGAAUAUCUGGGACAAAAGGCUGGAUUCACUGGAGGACUUGUUACCUGACUGCCCUUCAAGGUGCCAAAAUCAUAUAUCAUUAAGGGUUUCCCAAAACUCUCAUGAGUUUCUCUAUAGUGUACAGUCCCUUGGUACCUCACUGGUAAUGGAAAAUUCCUACUUUUCCAAAGGAAAAAUUGAUGCUCAGCCUUCCAGCCUGUGUCUCAAACCUCGCUCUGGCAAGACUUCCAAUUGAGGCCUUCCUAUCUGUAUCUCACCUGAAGGUCAGAAGUACUCACAUCUUUACAUGCAACAAUCUUCUGGGGAGGAGCAUUUGUCUGGGGGUCAGUCACCCUCCACCGAAGCCUUCAGCUACAUCCAAAGGACAAGUUGCUUAAGGCCUCUCUUCAGUGUAUAGACAUGUCUUUAAAAGCAUGCUGACAUGGACUCUCAGGAAUCCCUCUUCCUAGCAGGACCUUGAAGUCCUGCUAACUCAAGUGCAGUUGAGAGUUACUCAAGAUGAGGCCUAUGGAAGUCUCCUAGGCAGCUGCCCCAUUGCUGGAGGACUGACCACAAGGGAGCAGCCAGAAAUCACAGUUUCAGGGAAAUGUGACAAAAAGCAGACUAAUUUGAUCUCCCAGACACUUGUCUGACCAGAAAUACUUGGAUAAAUAAUUAUUAAUAAUAAUUGCAUAAUAAAUGUGUUGAUUACAGAACUUUCUCUUUUCUC